AAUAUGCCCUGGAGGUUCUCCAGUGUCACAUGGUGUGUGGAGCAAGAAAAGGCAGGGUUGCUCUUGCGCUGACGAAGUGGAUUUUGGUUCCCAAAUGGCACCCCUUGGGGAAUAGGAGGGGUUGUGGGUGGGAAGGGGGGCAGGCAGGCCGAGCAGUGGUGUGAGAGUGGGCAAGGGAGAACUAGUCUUGCAUUUUUCAUCUCCUUCAGCCUUCCAGGAAGCCGCUUCCUCCUGGAGGUGGAGGCAUACCCCCAGAUUUGUGGCGUGGGAAUUGGGGGAAAAGUUUCUGCGGUGUUUUAGUUGUUUACGUGGUGGUAGGGGUGGAUUUCUAGCUGUAUACAUGCUGGAUCUCAUAGCCGGAUAAAAGCUAUGUAACAUGUGGGGCCCGACCUAGAGCCCCCCGGGUAGCUCAAUUGCUUAAAAUGGAAAGGACGUCAACCAUGGAUGCUCAGGGGAGGGGCUGCCACCUCUAGACCCAGAUUGCUUUCAGCUACUACCCAGGAAAAUGAUAUUGUCUCUUACCAUUCUGCUGAAAUCUCUCUUCAUCUUGUUUAUACAUGUUGGUUUAUCUAGUCCUGUUUUUCUGAAUUCCAAACACUUAGAGGAGGCUCAGUGGUUCCCAAAGUAGACCUCUACCGGAAGUCCAGUGAUGGACACCUGUUUUUUUUGUCCCACACAGGUCCAUCAUGCCUAAAUACAAUCUCUAUGCCUUGUCCUGGGCAGGAGGAUGAGGCUUGGCUACGUUCACUUUCAAGAAUCAAGAAGAGAGGACUGAAAGAGAAACAGCUGAAAAGAAGGAGCCAAAUAAAAAACAAGAUCCAGCUGGAGGAGUUCAGGCCCGAUAAGCAGGCUUGAAAAAGAGGUCAGGCCCCAGGAGCUGGGCUGGAGCAGCGAGGAGCGUUUUUUCCAAGGAAAGAUGACUGCCUGAGAGCAAACAAAAGCUUUGGUAGGCAGCCUGAAAUUGCUCAUCAAGGAAAAAGACCAGACUCAGAUUUUAAAUGGCUUCUUCUGAAUGAAGCAAUUAAUGCUAAAAGGAACAUGUUGUCUCCUCAGCAUUUAUAAGGAUGGUUUAUGAAGAUGACCUGGGUAAAAAGACACCCAGAGAUUUCAUGCUGUUGAUCCACAGAAAGCCUGUUACUGUCCACUCCGUUGAGUCAGGCUUUAGAGUCUGGAUCAUCCCUUACAGAAGAUCCUUGAUAAUAUUUCUGAUAUACCUCCAAGAAAGAAGAACUCAACCAGAAGAUAACCAUUUUGACUGUCUUUAAGAUCCAUGAUUCCUUUCUGCCUGGGAGAGAUUAUGAGGCUUCAGAGAAUUCAAAUAUUGCUCCUCAUUAAGGAAAUGGUUCCGUUUGUUAAAUGUGUGUGACCCUUCCGAUAAGUCACCAGAGGUGAUGAGGGAGAGAGAGAAAGAAAGCAAAUUACAACUAUAAAGAGUCUCUGAACAGUGAAACAUCAAAACAGACAGUCUCUGGCUUUACUGGAUGAGUCACCAUUGCAGCCCGACCGCAAAAACAAGCGUGGCUUCUGUACUUAGCAGCAGUCUUCCUGUCUGGAAAGGAAACGUUGCUCAGAUUGGAGAUACUGGCCAUUUUAUAGACUUCAAAGCAACUUAGGCAACUGAACUGUCAGGCGGGAAAACAGGUAAAACAAUUUUCCUAGAGUUUGUCUGGAGAAUCAGCUACUCAAAUCUGAUUUGAAGCUGCAUGGAAAUACUUUCAUCUUUAGCCGAAGCUGUUUAUUUUAAAAAGUUUUAGUAUGAUGGUCUUCAGUUCUAGUGUAGUAUGUCUAUUUUUCCUCAAAUAAUGUAAGUCAGCUUUUUCUGGAAGAGACUUGUUUCCAGGCACUGAGCUAAGUUCUAUGGGGGAUGGAGAUAAAAUCAACAUGAGGACCAUCUAAUGAGGAAGUGGGACCAGUACACAUAUCAUGACACUAUGAAAGGAAAUAUGUACUGAAAACAGGAAAAACAUGAUACUGUGAUGGUGCAAGGAAAACAGAGGUGGGUCUUGAUGAAUGGUCUACCAGAUGAGAGACUAGUAUAAAGAAAGGCCUACGUGUAUUCAGGAUUUAGCAAUGAGUCUAAUUUAGGUUGAAAUGUAACAUACAAAUAAGGAAGUAGAAGAAAUAAAACUGGAGAGACUGGGAUCAGAUCUGGAAAGAGUCUGAAUGCCAGGAUGAAGAUUUGAGGUCUUAUGCUGUGUGCUGUGGAGACAGGGAGAGAAGAAGUAGUAACCUUAUGGGAAGAUAAUAAUGCCAACUCCAGAAAGGAAAAGGCAAAGGAGCAAGAUCAAGAUCAGUUAGAAGACUCUUGCCACAGUUCAGGAAAGAAAUUAAUUUUGGCCUGAUAUGGUUGGCUCUCUGCCCCUACUCAAAUGUCAUCUUGAAUUGUAAUCCCCUCAUGUUGAGGGAGGGA
Macaca mulatta (Rhesus monkey) is the source of this 2410-nucleotide non-coding RNA. Lineage: Eukaryota; Metazoa; Chordata; Mammalia; Primates; Cercopithecidae. The record is from RefSeq and is a predicted model, not a curated record.